This 3087-nucleotide ribosomal RNA is filed under the name Parcubacteria group bacterium CG1_02_37_13. Its description in RNAcentral is "bacterial LSU rRNA". The stretch from base 1 to 2576 matches the Rfam family "Bacterial large subunit ribosomal RNA". The record is from RNAcentral.
UUAUGGGCAAAUGGUGGAUGCCUUGGGAGCAGGAGGCGAUGAAGGACGUGGCGUGGCUGCGAUAAGCUUCGGCGAGGUGCUUAGCAACCUAUGACCCGGAGAUCUCCGAAUGUGGAAACACUUUGCGGCAAACCCGCAAAACCCAACCCGCAAGGGAUGGGGGCGAACCCAGCGAAGUGAAACAUCUUAGUAGCUGGAGGAAAAGAAAAAAAAUAAAAAUAUUCCCCAAGUAGCGGCGAGCGAAAAGGGAUGGGCCUAAACCAAUGAAUAGUAACUUAGGUCAGACCUCCUAAAAAACUUAGGAGCCCAGUUUGGGGGAGGUCUGACCUAAGUUACUAUUCAUUGGGGUUGUAGGAUGAUAAUAGGGAUUUAUCCCGGGAAGUCAAAAAAAUUGCUUUGGUUAGCUGAAUGCCCCUGGAAAGGGCGGGCAGAGAAGGUGAUACCCCUGUAAGCGAAAACCAGCAAAACUUCCUGAUUAUUAUUCCUGAGUACCUUAGGGAAAGAAAGCCCUGAGGGAAUCUAGCUGGACUGUCAGCUAAGGCUAAAUACUACCUGCUCACCGAUAGUGAACUAGUACCGUGAGGGAAAGGUGAAAAGUAGCCCGGUGAGGGCGUUGAAAUAGUACCUGAAACCAUUUUGCCUUCAAAGAGUGGGAGCUGCCGCAGCUCACUGUGUUUGCUGCGGAAUGAUCAAUUUUCAAUGAUCAAUUUUCAAUCAAUUUUCAAUUAUUUAAUUUUUUAAUUUUAAAAUUGGGAUUUGUUUGAAAAUUGAAAAUUCGUAAAUUGAAAAUUUCGCCAAAGCGAGCAUAGCGAGCUGUGGCGGUGACCGCGUGCUUUUUGUAGAACGAGCCAACGAGUCUUCCUACUUUCUUCGUCUAAGCGGUUCUGCCGCUAAGGCAUAGUGAAAGCAAGCGUUAAUAGCGCGACCUUAAAAGAAAGUGGGCGGGACCCGAAGCCAGGCGAGCUUGCCAUGACCAGGAUGAACGUCUCCGAAAGGCGACAGGAGGUCCGAACCAAUAAGCUGUGCAAUGCUUUUGGAUGAGUUGUGGUAAGGAGUGAAAAGCUAAUCGAGCCUGGGAAUAGCUGGUUCUCCCCGAAAUAGCUUUAGGGCUAGCCCAAGUAAAUAAUUUUAUGGGGGUAGAGCACUGAAUGGUUUGUCAUUGGGUUUUCCCAGAUAAGCCAAUCAAACUCCGAAUACCGUAAAAUGUUCCUUGGAGUCAGAACGCGGGAGCUAAGUUCCGUGCUCAAAAGGGAAACAGCCCAGACCGUCGUCUAAGGCCCCUAAAUUUAAACUAAGUGUUAUAAGGAAGUGGGUUUUCUAUAAUAGUUAGAAAGUUCGCUCAGAGGCAGCUAUCUUUUAAAAAGUGCGUAAUAGCUUACUAUCUGAGAAGACCCGCGCCAAAGUAUGCAGGGGGCUCAAGUUUAAUGCCGAAGACACGGAUUCUUGUGUUUUACACAAGAGUGGUAGGGGAGCGUUCUUUGUUCACUGAAGCUAAUUCGCGAGAAUUUGUGGAGAACAAAGAAGUGAGAAUGUUGGCAUGAGUAACCGCAAUCGCGAUGAAAUUCCGCGACACCGAAAGCCCGAGGUUUCCUUGGCAAUGGUAAUCAGCCAAGGGUUAGGCGGCCCUAAGCUAACUGCCGAAGGGUAUUUAGCGAUGGACAGGUGGUUAAUAUUCCACCCCCUCGAUAUUUUUUCAAUGAAGUGCGAAGUGUAGUAAACAAGGCGAGUUAUUGGAUUCUCGUUUGCAGCUUUAGGAGACAAGAGCUGUGAGGAACUAGGGUAAUACCUAGGAACUUUGUCGAGCACGCUUCCCAGAAAAGCUUCAAAGAGCUAAGAAUAUUGAGCCCGUACCGCAAACCGACACAGGUGGGCAAGCGCAAGUAUGCUAAGGUGAACGAGUGAAACUUCGUUAAGGAACUAGGCAAAAAAGCAGGCGUAAGUUUUCGAUAUGCCUUGCCUUGCGCUUCGCACAAGGAAAUCCUAAAUCCGAAAUUCUAAACAAAGAAAAAAAAUUCUAAAUCCUAAAUCCGAAAUUCUAAACAAAUUACAAAUAUUAAAUUACAAAUUCUAAAUAAAAACGCAAAAACCCCGCAAGGGAAGUUUGUAAUUUAGAAUUUAGAGUUUGUUUAGGAUUUAGAUAUUAGAAUUUAGAGUUUGUUUAGGAUUUAGAUAUUAGAAUUUAGAAUUUUCUCGUGCGGAGCGCGAGGUCGCAGCGACUGACCCCAGGCGACUGUUUACCAAAAACACAGGUCCCUGCUAACUCUUAAAGAGGAUGUAUAGGGGCUGAAACCUGACCAGUGCCCGUGUGUCAAAACUGGGGGUGCUUGCCGCAAGGUAAGUGCUCACUGGACUAAGCCACGGGUGAACAUCCGCGGUAAUAAAAGAGUUGCCGCUUGGCUAAAGCAAUUUAGCCAAAAAAACUUGACUAUAUGCUGGAAACUCUGGCGUACUUUAGGAGAAAUCCGACAAGUGUAUCCGUAAGGGCGGAUGCCAGACAAUCAGCAGGAAAGGUCGCGAAUCGAAUUUUGGAACGUCUUGAGUGGCUGUUAACUUCGUGUCCACGAAAUCCCGACUCUAGAUAGUAUUCUUUCUACUCGAUAUACCGAGAAAGAGGAAUGCUGUCAAAAAAAGAGGGCGGGUAGUACCCACAUAAAGUAUAGAUAAUGUGGGAUAGUGGAAAGCUCUAACAGUCACUCAUAAUAGCGAUAAUGAAUUUGUUAUCGCUCCAAGGUUCGAUUCGCGAAAUCCUCAGAGACUACACGUCAAGCCCCGCCCAAAGCUAAGGCAUUGUGGCGGGUGAAGAUAUAGUCCAUACUUCAAGCGAUUGAAGAAUAAGGUCAAAAUGAACUCUGACCGUGUUAAAGUAGGAAACAACUGCUUUAGUAAAAUUCGGCUAUAUGCUGGAACAUCUGGUGCAUCUGGCAAUACUCUGGUAUAAUUAAGGAAUAAUACUCCUUUAUCAUUAUGCCAAGUAAAAAAUUGUCCAGUGCAGACAAUCAGCAGGAAAGAUUCAAUUUUGCCAACUGGAUUGUUGGCUUCGUUGAUGGAGAAGGCUGCUUUACAGUAAGCUUUUUCUCGCAUCCAAAA